CUGAAGCCAAUUAAGUCGGCCGUAUUUCUCCUUAUGGAGGCCAGUAUGCAAAGGGUGCAAACAGCAAGCCUCCUCGGUAGUGCAUGCAGCCUGUCGGCAUGUAUAGGCUGCCCUAAAGGACCUUGGAGACAACC
Molecule: small nucleolar RNA, 134 nt
Organism: Echinops telfairi (small Madagascar hedgehog)
Lineage: Eukaryota; Metazoa; Chordata; Mammalia; Afrosoricida; Tenrecidae
Gene: SNORA70
Rfam family: Small nucleolar RNA SNORA70
About the family: snoRNA U70 seems to be exclusive to mammals and is a member of the H/ACA class of snoRNA which contain H (ANANNA) and ACA box motifs. H/ACA box snoRNAs are involved in the conversion of uridines to pseudouridines (5-ribosyluracil) a constituent of structural RNAs (transfer, ribosomal, small nuclear, and small nucleolar).
Source: Ensembl